Molecule: ribosomal RNA, 831 nt
Filed under: Triticum aestivum (bread wheat)
Lineage: Eukaryota; Viridiplantae; Streptophyta; Magnoliopsida; Poales; Poaceae
Description: partial small subunit ribosomal RNA
Source: RNAcentral
AUGGAUAUGACAGUGAAGUACUUUGAGAGGAGGAAGGCCGAGAAUCCAGAGUUUUUCUUUGUGAAGCAAAAAGAUCCUGCAACGAACUCUGUCACUGCAUUGUUUUGGGUUGAUGGGAGGAUAAGGGCGCUGUACCCGAAAUAUAAAGAUUGCGUGUUCUUUGACACAACUUUCUGCACUAACAGAUACAACAUGCCCUUUGGUCCUAUAGUUGGUAUCAACAACCACCUCCAAACCAUUUCACUCGGGUGUGCUUUGUUGCCGGAUGAGACUAUUGAAACGUUCAAGUGGGUCUUUGAGCAAUGGAUGGUUGCAAUGGACAAUGAGCAUCCAAAGAACAUAAUGACUGACCAGGACCAAGCAAUGGCAACAGCUAUAGAGCAGGUGCUCCCAAAUACUUGACAUAGGUGUUGCAAGUUUCAUGUGUUUGGCAACACGCGUUCUAAGUUGGGGAGGCUGCUUAGAGAUGAGGCGUUUGCAGAUGUGUUUUACACUUGUAUCAACAACUCUGAAAUGGUUGAAGAAUUUGAGGAAACAUGGCAGCACAUGUUGGAGUGUUUCGAAGUUGCUGAAAACAAACACUUGAAGAACAUGUGGCAAACAAGACAUAUGUGGGAUCCAACGUACUUCAAGAACAAUUUCUUCCCGUUCACAAGCACGACAUGCAGGUCCGAGGGGCUGAACUCAUAUUUCAAGACAAUGAUUCGUCCAGCUGAUUUUGUAUGGAGGUUUGUGCAACAGUAUGAAUUGUGCCAGGAAACUGUACUUGAUCGCGAGGACAAUGCUGGGUUCACUGGUGAAACGACGGCUCCUCCACUAUACUCUCGGUAG